Molecule: ribosomal RNA, 467 nt
Filed under: uncultured Glomus
Lineage: Eukaryota; Fungi; Glomeromycota; Glomeromycetes; Glomerales; Glomeraceae
Description: SSU rRNA
Rfam family: Eukaryotic small subunit ribosomal RNA
Source: RNAcentral
UUCCAGCUCCAAUAGCGUAUAUUAAAGUUGUUGCAGUUAAAAAGCUCGUAGUUGAAUUUCGGGGUUAGUAGGUUGGUCAUGCCUCCGUAUGUACUGAUCUCACUGAUUCCUCCUUCCUUAUGAACCGUAAUGCCAUUAAUUUGGUGUUGCGGGGAAUUUGGACUGUUACUUUGAAAAAAUUAGAGUGUUUAAAGCAGGCUAACGCUUGAAUACAUUAGCAUGGAAUAAUGAAAUAGGACGUUCGAUCUUAUUUUGUUGGUUUCUAGGAUUGACGUAAUGAUUAAUAGGGAUAGUUGGGGGCAUUAGUAUUCAAUUGUCAGAGGUGAAAUUCUUGGAUUUAUUGAAGACUAACUACUGCGAAAGCAUUUGCCAAGGAUGUUUUCAUUAAUCAAGAACGAAAGUUAGGGGAUCGAAGACGAUCAGAUACCGUCGUAGUCUUAACCAUAAACUAUGCGACUAGGGAUCGG